This 331-nucleotide ribosomal RNA is filed under the name uncultured bacterium. Its description in RNAcentral is "partial 16S ribosomal RNA". It matches the Rfam family "Bacterial small subunit ribosomal RNA", at positions 338 to 686 of the family's 1533-position model. The record is from RNAcentral.
CCUACGGGUGGCAGCAGUAGGGAAUAUUGCUCAAUGGGGGAAACCCUGAAGCAGCAACGCCGCGUGGAGGAUGAAGGUUUUCGGAUUGUAAACUCCUUUUUUUAGAGAAGAUAAUGACGGUAUCUAACGAAUACGCACCGGCUAACUCCGUGCAAGCAGCCGCGGUAAUACGGAGGGUGCAAGCGUUACUCGGAAUCACUGGGCGUAAAUAGCGCGUAGGCGGGAUAGCAAGUCAGCUGUGAAAUCCUAGGGCUUAACCAUAGAACUGCAGUUGAAACUGUGAUUCUGGAGUAUGGGAGAGGUAGGUGGAAUUCUUGGUGUAGGGGUAAAA